GUUCAAAGAUGGCUGUGUGUCCAGACUGCUAGAUGGAUGUCUGGAUGUCCAUUUGGAUCUGCUGAGGUUGUUACAAGUCCAGUUUUGAUUCCUGUGCAAAAGAUUUGAAUAACAGCAGUGCCAACUCCUCUGGCAAAGGACAGGAAGCUAAUUUCCAGGAGCUUGAUUAUAUUUGAUGGGCACAACUUACUGCGAAAGGAUUAUCUUCUUUUCAUGCUCCCCAUGCAUGAUUGAUCAGCUCUCGUCAAGAUGAUUCUACUGGCCUAAACUCCAACUGAAAACUGAAGACCCAUCUCAAAUGACACCAUGCAUUUAAGUUUUGUUUUUGCACAACUUGA
Chiloscyllium plagiosum (whitespotted bambooshark) is the source of this 338-nucleotide non-coding RNA. The record is from RefSeq and is a predicted model, not a curated record. NCBI's taxonomy places the organism in Eukaryota, Metazoa, Chordata, Chondrichthyes, Orectolobiformes, Hemiscylliidae.